AAAUUGAAGAGUUUGAUCAUGGCUCAGAUUGAACGCUGGCGGCAGGCCUAACACAUGCAAGUCGAACGGUAACAGGAAGCAGCUUGCUGCUUUGCUGACGAGUGGCGGACGGGUGAGUAAUGUCUGGGAAACUGCCUGAUGGAGGGGGAUAACUACUGGAAACGGUAGCUAAUACCGCAUAAUGUCGCAAGACCAAAGAGGGGGACCUUCGGGCCUCUUGCCAUCGGAUGUGCCCA
This 236-nucleotide ribosomal RNA is filed under the name Escherichia coli. Its description in RNAcentral is "partial 16S ribosomal RNA". It matches the Rfam family "Bacterial small subunit ribosomal RNA", at positions 1 to 233 of the family's 1533-position model. Lineage: Bacteria; Pseudomonadati; Pseudomonadota; Gammaproteobacteria; Enterobacterales; Enterobacteriaceae. The record is from RNAcentral.